This 73-nucleotide transfer RNA is filed under the name Ovis aries (sheep). It matches the Rfam family "tRNA". Rfam says of the family: Transfer RNA (tRNA) molecules are approximately 80 nucleotides in length. Their secondary structure includes four short double-helical elements and three loops (D, anti-codon, and T loops). Lineage: Eukaryota; Metazoa; Chordata; Mammalia; Artiodactyla; Bovidae. The record is from Rfam by way of RNAcentral.
UCCCUGGUGGUCCAGUGGCUAAGACUCUGCACUUCCACUGCAGAGGGCACAGGUUCAAUCCCCGGUCAGAGAA